GUGCUUGAUGAAGAAGACCUAGUGGAGUAUAUCAUCACCGGGCUAGAUGAAGAUUUUAGGGACUUGGUUGCUGCUCUCGUUGCUAGGGUGGAACCGAUCUCUCUGGGGGAGCUGUACUCACAACUUCUCAAUUUUGAGA
Molecule: small nucleolar RNA, 139 nt
Filed under: Leersia perrieri
Lineage: Eukaryota; Viridiplantae; Streptophyta; Magnoliopsida; Poales; Poaceae
Description: Small nucleolar RNA Z247
Rfam family: Small nucleolar RNA Z247
About the family: Z247 is a member of the C/D class of snoRNA which contain the C (UGAUGA) and D (CUGA) box motifs.
Source: Rfam by way of RNAcentral